RNAcentral lists this ribosomal RNA (505 nucleotides) under uncultured bacterium. Its description in RNAcentral is "partial 16S ribosomal RNA". It matches the Rfam family "Bacterial small subunit ribosomal RNA", at positions 28 to 507 of the family's 1533-position model. The record is from RNAcentral.
GACGAACGCUGGCGGCGCGCCUAAUACAUGCAAGUCGAACGCACAGUUUAUACCGUAGCUUGCUCCACCAUAGACUGUGAGUUGCGAACGGGUGAGUAACGCGUAGGUAACCUGCCUGGUAGCGGGGGAUAACUAUUGGAAACGAUAGCUAAUACCGCAUAAUAUUGAUUAUUGCAUGAUAAUUGAUUGAAAGGUGCUAUUGCAUCACUACCAGAUGGACCUGCGUUGUAUUAGCUAGUAGGUGAGGUAACGGCUCACCUAGGCGACGAUACAUAGCCGACCUGAGAGGGUGAUCGGCCACACUGGGACUGAGACACGGCCCAGACUCCUACGGGAGGCAGCAGUAGGGAAUCUUCGGCAAUGGACGAAAGUCUGACCGAGCAACGCCGCGUGAGUGAAGAAGGUUUUCGGAUCGUAAAGCUCGGUUGUAAGAGAAGAACGGGUGUGAGAGUGGAAAGUUCACACUGUGACGGUAUCUUACCAGAAAGGGACGGCUAACUACGUG